ACGGGAGGCAGCAGCUAAGAAUCUUCCGCAAUGGACGAAAGUCUGACGGAGCGACGCCGCGUGUACGAAGAAUGUCGAGAGAUUGUAAAGUACUUUUAUAUGUGAGGAAUAACCAGAUCAGGAAAUGGGUUUGGGAUGACGUCAGCAUAUGAAUAAGCUCCGGCCAAUUACGUGCCAGCAGCCGCGGUAA
This 190-nucleotide ribosomal RNA is filed under the name Spirochaetes bacterium enrichment culture clone 4.17b Bac band 5. RNAcentral describes it as "partial 16S ribosomal RNA". It matches the Rfam family "Bacterial small subunit ribosomal RNA", at positions 341 to 523 of the family's 1533-position model. Lineage: Bacteria; Pseudomonadati; Spirochaetota. The record is from RNAcentral.